Molecule: long non-coding RNA, 1120 nt
Filed under: Gadus morhua (Atlantic cod)
Lineage: Eukaryota; Metazoa; Chordata; Actinopteri; Gadiformes; Gadidae
Description: lncRNA (ENSGMOG00000024009.1)
Source: RNAcentral
AACAGAAGCUGCUUGUGGAGGUCUAUGAGAAAUACAAGCAUAUAAUAACUCAAAAAGGGAACACCAUAACCAUUAAAAAAACGGGCCGCCUGGCAUUAAUAUCUUUUAAUUGCAUAAGUAGUAUAAAGCGUAACAUAUUUAAAUUAAAUAUUGACCAUCGUUUUGUAAUCAAGGAGAUAGUUUCGAGGUUACGUGUGUUGGGCAAAAUAACCUGCUGAGUACAUCACAUGUACAGAAAGCUAACUCCUACCCUAGCCUGAUGAGCACAUCACAUGGCAGACACAUUACAAUAUAGUCAACUCUUGCUCUAACCCAACGAACACAAACAUGAUAAUAUAUAGUCAGGUCAAGGCCGGAGCCGAAGGCCCAAUUUCCCAGGCUGGCAGAUGGUGGACACUCAGACAAUGCACCAGUCAUCCUCAAGAACGGGAGAGCCACAUUAAUUUAUCACACAGGAGACACGAGGAGCUCUCCCCCGUUAGGAGGCAUAUACCAGGGCCUGAGAGCCACAUUAAUUUAUCACACAGGAGACAUUUCGAAGCUCUCCCCCGUUAGGAAGAACACAAGGGAUACACACCAGGGCCUGGGAGCCAAGGCCAAGCAAAAACACACAGAACCACACACACCUCAAACGCACACACCUCAUCGAGAGGAGGAUACAGCAUAAAACUGUAUCACACAGGGACUCUUCAUCUUCUUCUGAAGCAGACCUUCCACGGAGGCGAAGCUCUGGACGAACCAUCAGCGCUGAUUAGGGACUUAGACAUAUUCGAUUUCUCACGCUUUAUGACUCUGUAUAACCGUUGCCAAUUUACUUAAUAAAUCCAAGGUCCUCGUGCCGACAGACUUUAUUACCUCUCCGUCUCAUUUUAUCUGGUCCAGUAACUAGACAGACCCGUUUUUCCCCUCAAUUUGGUGACCCCGACGUGAUUUUUUCUGAAUUGGACCGCAACUGGGAAACGAGAGACGGAGAGCGGCACGACCUCGGGACCCCGGAGCACCGGACCGAUUCCUGCAGUCUCACCUCGCGCGCGCCCAACAAAAGGUAGGCAGAACCUGUUGAUAAAAUCCAAACUCUGCAUAGUUAUAUAGGAACCACAUUAGGAGGUGAGACUGUGAG